This 465-nucleotide ribosomal RNA is filed under the name uncultured bacterium. RNAcentral describes it as "partial 16S ribosomal RNA". It matches the Rfam family "Bacterial small subunit ribosomal RNA", at positions 28 to 507 of the family's 1533-position model. The record is from RNAcentral.
GACGAACGCUGGCGGCGUGCUUAACACAUGCAAGUCGAACGGAAAGGCCCUGCUUGCAGGGUACUCGAGUGGCGAACGGGUGAGUAACACGUGGGUGAUCUGCCCUCCACUUCGGGAUAAGCCUGGGAAACUGGGUCUAAUACCGGAGAGGAGCCAUUUUUAGUGUGAUGGUUGGAAAGUUUUUUCGGUGUAGGAUGAGCUCGCGGCCUAUCAGCUUGUUGGUGGGGUAAUGGGCUACCAAGGCGGCGACGGGUAGCCGGCCUGAGAGGGUGGACGGCCACAUUGGGACUUAGAUACGGCCCAGACUCCUAAGGGAGGCAGCAGUGGGGAAUUUUGCACCAUGGGCGCAAGCCUGAUGCAGCGAAGCCGCGUGGGGGAUGACGGCCUUCGGGUUGGAAACUCCUUUCGGCAGGGACGGAGCUUUUUGUGACGGUACCUAGAAAAGAAGCACCGGCUAACUACGUG